GACCGCUUAAGUGACCUAGGGGUUAGAUCGUCCGCCUCUGAUGUGGGAGGUCAUGGGUUCGAUCCCCAGCUGAGUCA
Non-coding RNA from Potamilus streckersoni, 77 nucleotides. NCBI's taxonomy places the organism in Eukaryota, Metazoa, Mollusca, Bivalvia, Unionida, Unionidae. The record is from the annotation of a GenBank genome assembly.